Molecule: ribosomal RNA, 1385 nt
Filed under: 'Daucus carota' witches'-broom phytoplasma
Lineage: Bacteria; Bacillati; Mycoplasmatota; Mollicutes; Acholeplasmatales; Acholeplasmataceae
Description: bacterial SSU rRNA
Rfam family: Bacterial small subunit ribosomal RNA
Source: RNAcentral
GAUUAACGCUGGCGGCGUGCCUAAUACAUGCAAGUCGAACGGAAACCUUCGGGUUUUAGUGGCGAACGGGUGAGUAACACGUAAGCAACCUACCCUAAAGACGAGGAUAACCAUUGGAAACAGUGGCUAAGACUGGAUAGGAAGAUAAAAGGCAUCUUUUAUCUUUUAAAAGACCUAGUAAUAGGUAUGCUUUAGGAGGGGCUUGCGCCAUAUUAGUUAGUUGGUAGGGUAAUGGCCUACCAAGACGAUGAUGUGUAGCUGGACUGAGAGGUUGAACAGCCACAUUGGGACUGAGACACGGCCCAAACUCCUACGGGAGGCAGCAGUAGGGAAUUUUCGGCAAUGGAGGAAACUCUGACCGAGCAACGCCGCGUGAAUGACGAAGUACUUCGGUAUGUAAAGUUCUUUUAUCAAGGAAGAAAAGCAAAUGGCGAACCAUUUGUUUGCCGGUACUUGAUGAAUAAGCCCCGGCUAAUUAUGUGCCAGCAGCCGCGGUAAGACAUAAGGGGCAAGUGUUAUCCGGAAUUAUUGGGCGUAAAGGGUGCGUAGGCGGUCUAGUAAGUCAGUGGUGUAAUGGCAACGCUUAACGUUGUCCGGCUAUUGAAACUGCUAAACUUGAGUUAGAUAGAGGCGAGUGGAAUUCCAUGUGUAGCGGUAAAAUGCGUAAAUAUAUGGAGGAACACCAGAGGCGUAGGCGGCUCGCUGGGUCUUAACUGACGCUGAGGCACGAAAGCGUGGGGAGCAAACAGGAUUAGAUACCCUGGUAGUCCACGCCGUAAACGAUGAGUACUAAGUGUCGGGUUAAACCGGUACUGAAGUUAACACAUUAAGUACUCCGCCUGAGUAGUACGUACGCAAGUAUGAAACUUAAAGGAAUUGACGGGACUCCGCACAAGCGGUGGAUCAUGUUGUUUAAUUCGAAGAUACCCGAAAAACCUUACCAGGUCUUGACAUGUUUUUGCAAAAUGAUAGUAAUAUCGUGGAGGUUACCAGAAACACAGGUGGUGCAUGGUUGUCGUCAGCUCGUGUCGUGAGAUGUUAGGUUAAGUCCUAAAACGAGCGAAACCCUUAUCGUUAGUUGCCAGCACGUUAUUGGUGGGGGACUUUUAACGAGACUGCCAAUGAUAAAUUUGGAGGAAAGGUGAAGGAUCACGUCAAAUCAGCAUGCCCCUUAUUGACCUGGGCUACAAACGUGAUACAAUGGCUGUUACAAAGGGUAGCUGAAACGCAAGUUCUUGGCCAAUCCCCAAAAACAGUCCCAGUCCGGAUUGAAGUCUGCAACUCGACUUCAUGAAGUUGGAAUCGCUAGUAAUCGCGAAUCAGCAUGUCGCGGUGAAUACGUUCUCGGGGUUUGUACACACCGCCCGUCAAACCACGAAAGUUGG